RNAcentral lists this long non-coding RNA (1353 nucleotides) under Nicotiana benthamiana. RNAcentral describes it as "long non-coding RNA (NBEN_LNC040842)". The record is from RNAcentral. Lineage: Eukaryota; Viridiplantae; Streptophyta; Magnoliopsida; Solanales; Solanaceae.
CGAACGCUGGCGGUCACCUUGCUCAGUUACCAGGAUAUGGCCUUCGAUCCUGCUAAUAACCCGCUAUCAGGUGAACAAUACCUGCAAUUGCACGCAAGGUGUAGGGAGUAAAUGGAGUACUUCCAACUCAGUGGUAAUAAGAGAGAAUAAUAUCUGAGCGAUAAAAAAACACUUAUGAGCACACCAAACUGCUAUAAAAGACAGAACAACCCUUUUUGAGAAAAAUUGAAAUACCGUGGAAAUCCCUUUAGAAAAAUCUCAAGAACAGUUCAAAAUCUCUUUUGAAAAUACGCUUUUUCAACACUUGCAAAGAUGAUUUCAACAAGUAGGAAAUAAUCAAAAAAACUGCCCGCCGGGCUCAAUAUCAAGCUUUCAGUACAGUACCAGCCCCGCGGGCUCAUCCCAACUCAAAAUAUCCAUCAUCAGCCUCUCAGGCUCAGCACUCCUCAACAUAUAACACCAGGGUAUGUGGUCAGCAAGGCAAGUAACAGAUGUAUGCCAAUGAUAUGUGAGUGCUAAAUGUCGUGCCACGUAGUACAAACAGGAGUAAUGCAUGAAUGCAAUGCAAAUGCAUGACCAUUGCGAAACAUGCAGCCCGAUCCAUUUGGGUACCCUCGCUCACUGUGGGGGUUCAUACUCCGGAGGGGCUCCUACAGCCCAAGCGCAAUAUCAAUAUCACACCGCUGCGAGUCGUGCAGCCCGAUCCAUGCAAUAUGCUAGUGCGGCGUGCAGUCCGAUCCAUGCAUGUAUGUGCACAUGUACACAUAUUACUCGAGGCGUGCAAGCCUCCUUACAUCAUAUUCAUGCCCUCACAUAUGGCCCUCAGCUUCAAUCAAUCUAAAAUAGUCAAAUGCCCCACGAGUAUUCGUAAAAGAAAUAUACUCAGUUCAAAUGAUGGUGCAAAUAUCGUUUAAAACCGCAAGUUUGAGUAAAAUAUAGCUGAGUUUAUAAAACAGUAUAAAUCACAGGGACUGAGUUCAAAUAGUAUUUCAAGUAGUGAGGAAAACAUUGAUAAUAACUCACAAAGAGUUCGAAUAAUCGGCAAUAAGCCCCAAGUAUGGCAAUAAGCCCAAGCCAUAAUGAUAACAACAAAUCAUCUGCAAAUACGCGGUGAAAACCAACAACAGGGACGGACCAAGUCACGAUCCCCAACGGUGCUCUACCCCACACUCAGGUCCGGUGUGCAAGUCACCACAAUAUAGCACUAAGAUGUGCAAAUCCGGGUUUUCAAACCCUCAUGAUAUCAUUCCCAAGUAUUACUCACCUCGAACCGGCGAAAUCUCAAGCUCACAACGCCUUUGCCCCUCAAAUCGGCCUCCACGAGCGUCGAAUCUAGCCAAAAUUAGAGCGAAU